GGGCCCGCACAAGCGGAGGAACAUGUGGUUUAAUUCGAUGAUACGCGAGGAACCUUACCCGGGCUUGAAAUAUAUCUGACUGUCCAAGAGAUUGGACUUCCAGCAAUGGCAGAUAUGUAGGUGCUGCAUGGUUGUCGUCAGCUCGUGCCGUGAGGUGUCGGCUUAAGUGCCAUAACGAGCGCAACCCCUAUCAUUAGUUGCUAGCAGGUAAUGCUGAGGACUCUAAUGAGACUGCCACCGUAAGGUGUGAGGAAGGUGGGGAUGACGUCAAAUCAGCACGGCCCUUACGUCCGGGGCGACACACGUGUUACAAUGGGAGGUACAGAGGGUAGCUACCUGGCGACAGGGAUGCCAAUCUCUUAAAGCCUCUCUCAGUUCGGAUUGGAGUCUGCAACUCGACUCCAUGAAGCUGGAUUCGCUAGUAAUCGCGCAUCAGCCAUGGCG
This 444-nucleotide ribosomal RNA is filed under the name uncultured Bacteroidota bacterium. RNAcentral's name for it is "bacterial SSU rRNA". It matches the Rfam family "Bacterial small subunit ribosomal RNA", at positions 917 to 1359 of the family's 1533-position model. Lineage: Bacteria; Pseudomonadati; Bacteroidota. The record is from RNAcentral.